AACAAACAAAAGAUUGACGUAAAACAAAAGCUUAAAUGGAUCAGAGACAAGAGUAAAAGUAAAGAAGGAUUAAUUUCAUUAAAGGGAAACAAUUACAACUUAGAUAUAAGAAAAAAUUUACAAAACAAACAAAAGACUCCUAGACACACCUAACGAGACGUCUCUAGAGUUCAAAUGCUUCCUCCAUUUGAGAAAUGAGAAUAUCCAUCUUGUGCUCGACGUCUUGUAGAGCAAAAAGAAUGCCACUCAGCACUGAGGUCACCUUAGAUUGUGAGAUUUCUUUCUUCACCAGAGAAUGUGACUUUCUCUUCCUUCCAAAAGAUGAACCUGCAUCCAUGGAAGAGAGUUUGUGAGGCGCAGAGGGAAGGAUAAGCACAACAAAAGAAAUGAGGACAAAGAGAGGAUGGAAAUGACAAAAAUGAGGAGGAAUGAAGAACGUUAAGGUUAUUAUUAGCAAAAAAAAAU
This 465-nucleotide long non-coding RNA is filed under the name Cicer arietinum (chickpea). RNAcentral's name for it is "long non-coding RNA (CARI_LNC000617)". Lineage: Eukaryota; Viridiplantae; Streptophyta; Magnoliopsida; Fabales; Fabaceae. The record is from RNAcentral.